This 77-nucleotide transfer RNA is filed under the name Rhodococcus phage Grayson. Its description in RNAcentral is "tRNA-Gly". It matches the Rfam family "tRNA". From Rfam's summary of the family: Transfer RNA (tRNA) molecules are approximately 80 nucleotides in length. Their secondary structure includes four short double-helical elements and three loops (D, anti-codon, and T loops). The record is from RNAcentral. Lineage: Duplodnaviria; Heunggongvirae; Uroviricota; Caudoviricetes.
GUCCCGGUAGUGUUUAACAUGGUCUAGCACGCUAUUCUUCCAAAAUAGAAGUGUGGGUUCAAAUCCCAUUCGGGACU